Molecule: ribosomal RNA, 116 nt
Filed under: Pteropus alecto (black flying fox)
Lineage: Eukaryota; Metazoa; Chordata; Mammalia; Chiroptera; Pteropodidae
Source: RNAcentral
GUUUACCUCUGUGCCACCCUGAACAAGCCCGAUGUCUGAUCUCGGAAGCUAAGCAGGGUCAGACCUGGUUAGUACUUGGAUGGGAGACCACCUAGGAAGACCAGGUGCUGUGAGCA